UGUCCCUCCCCUGUGCAUGCAUGUGCUCUCGCACACUCUCUCUCUCUGAAAAUAAGUUAAAAAUAAAUGAACUUAAAAUUUCAGUCAUGAAGGUUGAUGUUACUGAGGUGUACUUAAGGCAGGUUAGAAAUACCAGUUUAUAUUUCUUGUAUUUUUUCUUGAAACUUAAUUGGGUUGAGGUCAAAGUUGGAAAAGCAUGUUUAGCAAAGCAUCUAGUUUGCAAGUUAGAAUGGGUCCAUCUUGUUUCUUACCCUCUUUUUUUUUAUUAGUCUUCCUCACUUUUUAUUCUCAGAUACUCAGUCUUUUGUAUGCACAUUCUAUUUUUUUUCAGUCCUUCCGAGUUUUGCUUUUUGUCCUAAAUUCCAUUGUUUCUCCCUGUCACUGCCUUCACCAUCUCUUUGCUUACCAAGGAGAUUUCUCAAGCUGCUUUUGUUCUGGUCCUUUUCCUUCUCUGGGGCCGUUUUAUCUCCUUAGUCUACCUUUUUUAAUCACUUUUCUGCUCAGGUGUGUUCCUUUUGCCACAGUUAACAUUUUCUUGUUAACUGAUUUAUUAUCACCGUUUGGUUCUGCUCCUGCUCUGCCUUGGUGUGACUGCUGACGGGACUGUCAGAGCCACCUGUAUAUGUCCUACAAACCUCUAAGGGGUAGUCACUUAGAUGUGUCGUUUUGUUAGAAUUAUGAAUCACAAUUUUGUUCUUGUUUCGAAGCACGUGAAAUACAGCGGAUAGGAAUAAAACAAAUUGUAUAAUGAGGCAUUGAAAGAUGCAGUGUUUUAACGGUUCUAAACUAAAUGGUUACUGAUCAAAUUGUUUUCUAUUGCUGCAUAAUAAAUUACCCCCCACAUUAGCAGCUUAAGAUGGUCGUGUGUUUUGUGGUUUCUGAGGGUCCAGGAGUGAGGAGUGGCUCAGUUGGGUGGUUCUGGCUCUGGAUGUCUCAUUAUGUUGUCCUAAGGGUGCCAGGUCUGUAGUCCUUUCUCCAGGCCUAACUGGGGUUGGAGAAUCUAAUUCCAAGUUCACUCAAGUGGUUGUUGGCAGGCCUCUGUUCUUUGCACAUGUUUGGCCAGAGACUUCAGUGCCUCUCGCUAGGACUGCUUGCAAUAUGGUGGCUUGUUUGUCCCAGAGCGAGAGGUCCCAAGAGAGCAGGUAAUUGAGUGUUCAGAGUGAUAGAAGCACAUGUCAGAAGUGACAUGCCAUCCCUUCUCAUAUUCUUUAGGUCACACAGACCAUUUCACAGUGUGGAAGGUGACUACACAAGGGUAUGAAUACCAGGAGGCGGGUAGUUUUGGAGGCUGACUGCCAGUCUGCCCUCUGCCCCCUCCCCCCACAGUGAUUCAUGUUCCUCCCCCAUACAAAACGUACUCACCCCUUCCCAAGGAUUCCAGAAGUGUUAUCCCAUUACAGCAGCAUCUCAAAAUCCAGAAUCUCCUCUAAAUCACGGCCUGGUGUGGAUGAGGCUCUUCAGGUGUAGUUUCUUAAGUACAGCUGCUUGAAUAUAGUUUCUCUUGGUCUCAGAGACUAAAGAGAUGAUCUACCCAACCGACAACUAACAUCCAGCGGGGAGACAGGCAUAGGAGGACUGCUAUACACAUUCCUCGUCAAAGGGGAACAUGGGAGACACAUUCUGAAAUUGAACUGGCACGUGUUCGACUCUCUUGAUGAGGUCUCAAGGCCCAGGAUCCUUCUCCAUGGCUUUCAGCCCUACCCUCUGGGCUCUUGGCUGCGCUCUCUGUGAGUGAUCCUUAUUUUUAUGGGGGAAAGAAAGCACGUGUCUUACAUCCGAUUAGUUCUCUCUACUACUUGCCAGUAGCCUUUUGGCGGUUCAGAGACUUCAUUUUGUCCUCUCUCUGUCCCUUUCAGCUCAAGCUUGUAAUGUUUCUGCCUAUAUAUUUCUUUUAAAAACUUUGUGGGUCUUCAGUGAGUUUUGCUAGUUUCCAUUUCAUUGGUGAGAAGCCAUCGCACUCACAAAUUUCUGAAAUAAGGUGUUUUGUACCUUGGAUUUGUACUGAUACAGGGCCCUUGAUUAAGCUCAGUUGUGUGACCGACCUUGUGAGGCACACCCUUAAUUGAUAGUGCCUUUUCUCUGAAUGAAUAGUACCUUUGAUCUUUUUGAGUCUUAAGAGUUUACAGUCAUAUCCUUGAUUUCAUCUUUGGACCAUGCUUUCCUGGCAAUGCUCUGGAUUUACUGUUUGCUCAGAAGUCAUUUCUUUAUUUUAGUACCAUUUUACACCUUAGGAGACUGAAUUUUUAAAACUGUCAAGUCCUGGCUCCUUUUUAAUGGCCUUUACUUUGUCUCUUCUCUCAUAAACAGCAAGAAAAAAAA
Molecule: long non-coding RNA, 2319 nt
Organism: Herpailurus yagouaroundi (jaguarundi)
Lineage: Eukaryota; Metazoa; Chordata; Mammalia; Carnivora; Felidae
Exons: 2
Source: RefSeq, a predicted model, not a curated record